UACGGAGGGGGCUAGCGUUGUUCGGAAUUACUGGGCGUAAAGCGCGCGUAGGCGGACCUGCAAGUCGGGGGUGAAAGCCCGAGGCUCAACCUCGGAACUGCCUUCGAUACUGCGGGUCUCGAGUCCGGGAGAGGUGAGUGGAAUUCCUAGUGUUGAGGUGAAAUUCGUAGAUAUUAGGAAGAACACCAGUGGCGAAGGCGGCUCACUGGCCCGGUACUGACGCUGAGGCGCGAAAGCGUGGGGAGCAAACAGG
This 253-nucleotide ribosomal RNA is filed under the name uncultured bacterium. RNAcentral's name for it is "partial 16S ribosomal RNA". It matches the Rfam family "Bacterial small subunit ribosomal RNA", at positions 524 to 776 of the family's 1533-position model. The record is from RNAcentral.